RNAcentral lists this ribosomal RNA (253 nucleotides) under uncultured bacterium. Its description in RNAcentral is "partial 16S ribosomal RNA". It matches the Rfam family "Bacterial small subunit ribosomal RNA", at positions 524 to 776 of the family's 1533-position model. The record is from RNAcentral.
UACGUAGGUGGCAAGCGUUGUCCGGAUUUACUGGGCGUAAAGAGCGCGCAGGCGGUCGUUCAAGUCGCGUGUGAAAGCCCCCGGCUCAACUGGGGAGGGUCACGCGAUACUGAUCGACUCGAAGGCAGGAGAGGGUAGUGGAAUUCCCGGUGUAGUGGUGAAAUGCGUAGAAAUCGGGAGGAACACCAGUGGCGAAGGCGACUACCUGGCCUGUUCUUGACGCUGAGGCGCGAAAGCUAGGGGAGCAAACGGG